RNAcentral lists this long non-coding RNA (362 nucleotides) under Vulpes vulpes (red fox). RNAcentral describes it as "lncRNA (ENSVVUG00000003928.1)". The record is from RNAcentral. Lineage: Eukaryota; Metazoa; Chordata; Mammalia; Carnivora; Canidae.
CCCAGACCCCCGUUGGAGACUUGCUUUAAUGGUCUAAACAAGCCCUGUCAGUUCCCUCUGUGUCUUCUUGUUUUAUAAUGUCCUCCUCAUCCUAACUCCAAUUUAAAUCCUAUCAGCAAUCAAGUCUCAGCUCAAACCAUGCUUCUGAGACAGCCUUGAUCUGACUACUCCCAUCAGGGAUAUCAGAGCUUCUGUAGCAGAUACAGAUGCAUCUUCAAACCCAGACUCAGCCACCCACCAGCAGAAGCUUACUGAGCCUGAAUUCCCAAAAAUGUACUUCUUAAUCUAUAGAGCACUGAGUCACAAUACAUGGCAAAGCAGAUGCCUGCUGGGGGCAAAGGCACAAAAAAGGUUUGGAAGAC